UACGGGGGGGGCAAGCGUUGUUCGGAAUUACUGGGCGUAAAGGGCUUGUAGGCGGCUCUGUCAGUCGGAUGUGAAAUCCCCAGGCUUAACCUGGGAACGGCAUCCGAUACUGGAGGGCUUGAAUUCGGGAGAGGGAUGCAGAAUUCCAGGUGUAGCGGUGAAAUGCGUAGAUAUCUGGAGGAAUACCGGUGGCGAAGGCGGCAUCCUGGACCGAGAUUGACGCUGAGGAGCGAAAGCUAGGGGAGCAAACGGG
Molecule: ribosomal RNA, 253 nt
Filed under: uncultured bacterium
Lineage: Bacteria
Description: partial 16S ribosomal RNA
Rfam family: Bacterial small subunit ribosomal RNA
Source: RNAcentral